UGGGGAAUUUUGGACAAUGGGGGAAACCCUGAUCCAGCCAUCCCGCGUGUGCGAUGAAGGCCUUCGGGUUGUAAAGCACUUUUGGCAGGAAAGAAACGUCAUGGGUUAAUACCCCGUGAAACUGACGGUACCUGCAGAAUAAGCACCGGCUAACUACGUGCCAGCAGCCGCGGUAAUACGUAGGGUGCAAGCGUUAAUCGGAAUUACUGGGCGUAAAGCGUGCGCAGGCGGUUCGGAAAGAAAGAUGUGAAAUCCCAGAGCUCAACAUUGGAACUGCAUUUUUAACUACCGGGCUAGAGUGUGUCAGAGGGAGGUGGAAUUCCGCGUGUAGCAGUGAAAUGCGUAGAUAUGCGGAGGAACACCGAUGGCGAAGGCAGCCUCCUGGGAUAACACUGACGCUCAUGCACGAAAGCGUGGGGAGCAAACAGG
RNAcentral lists this ribosomal RNA (429 nucleotides) under Acidobacteriota bacterium. RNAcentral describes it as "Acidobacteria bacterium partial 16S ribosomal RNA". It matches the Rfam family "Bacterial small subunit ribosomal RNA", at positions 355 to 776 of the family's 1533-position model. Lineage: Bacteria; Pseudomonadati; Acidobacteriota. The record is from RNAcentral.